UCCUCGUUAGUAUAGUGGUUAGUAUACCCGCCUGUCACGCGGGUGACCGGGUUCAAUUCCGCGGGGAG
This 68-nucleotide transfer RNA is filed under the name Pythium insidiosum. RNAcentral's name for it is "tRNA-Asp". It matches the Rfam family "tRNA". Rfam says of the family: Transfer RNA (tRNA) molecules are approximately 80 nucleotides in length. Their secondary structure includes four short double-helical elements and three loops (D, anti-codon, and T loops). Further hydrogen bonds mediate the characteristic L-shaped molecular structure. tRNAs have two regions of fundamental functional importance: the anti-codon, which is responsible for specific mRNA codon recognition, and the 3' end, to which the tRNAs corresponding amino acid is attached (by aminoacyl-tRNA synthetases). tRNAs cope with the degeneracy of the genetic code in two manners: having more than one tRNA (with a specific anti-codon) for a particular amino acid; and 'wobble' base-pairing, i.e. permitting non-standard base-pairing at the 3rd anti-codon position. The record is from RNAcentral. Lineage: Eukaryota; Oomycota; Peronosporomycetes; Pythiales; Pythiaceae.